Myzus persicae (green peach aphid) is the source of this 1145-nucleotide long non-coding RNA. RefSeq lists it as uncharacterized. Lineage: Eukaryota; Metazoa; Arthropoda; Insecta; Hemiptera; Aphididae. The transcript has 4 exons. The record is from RefSeq and is a predicted model, not a curated record.
UUGGGUUCGUAUUAUUCUUAUCGUGUACGCUGUUGUCUGAUUGACGUUCCUACAGAUUGUUAAUAAUUGUAUUACAUCAACCGUAUACUCUUGUUUUCAUUGUAUAAAUUGUUUUAAAUUUAUUGUAAUACAGUAUAAGUGAUUGUGAUUCUUCAACCGAAGUCGAUCAGGUUGCAGAUUUAGAAGAACCAAUUUUACCCUGGCCAAAUUAUCAAAAAUAUUUUAAAGUAUUAAGAGUCAUUGAGGAUAAUUUUUUUACAAGAAGCUGAAAGUGAAGUGCUUAAGUUGUGUCGAUACAAAGUGUUAAAAGGUGGAUUCACGUUCAAACUCUAAUAUAAGAAAACAUUUAAGCACACAACAUUCAACUAUAUUAAAGAAAAUUGAUCACAUUGGUAAUGCAGCGAACAAAAACACUUUAAAGAGAUGCAAUGAUGGAUCAUUGAAGCAUAAUGCAUUAAUGCUGGUAGUUCUUUAAAACAAUCAGAUAAAAACAACCAGUUUUAGAAGAUUUUUUGAAAAACAAAAAAAUUAACUAGUGAAAUUGCAGCAUUAACAAAAGUAGUUGAUAUUUACAUGACUACAUGACUAUAUACUGAUACAUUGCUAGUGAACGAUACGGUUGUUAAUGAUUUAAAGGAAAUCGACGCAUUCAACUUGAACAUUCUCAAUGAUGAAGACCAUGAUUUACCAUAUGUAUUACCAAAACACCAUCAAUGUUGUGCACACACAAUAAAUUUAAUAGCAACAAUGACCAACAUUUUCAAAUACGUCAAGGUUCUGCUGCCUCAAAUAUAGCCACAAGGAGUACCCCAAGGAGGUGUACUUUCUCCUAUCUUAUUUAAUAUUUAUGCUGCCGACCAACCUACUACACGAAAUACUAUUGUUGCUGAUUAUGCUGACGACAAAGUCAUAUUGUCAGUACAUAAUAAUAAUUGAAUAAUGAAUGUUCCAUGAUUGCAGCAGAAACAGUGCAACACUGCAGUCUAAACAUUAAACAUGAUACCAACGAAGAACCCCCCUCGACGGCAGCUCAUUUUCAUCCAGCUAGAUGGCGCCGACGUAUACAGUUUUUUGUCUUAUUUUAAAUUUUACGAAUACUCUGCUCUACUUCUGGUCUAUAAUUAAUACCAUUACCAUGCGUCUAU